Non-coding RNA from Lolium perenne, 3953 nucleotides. The record is from RefSeq and is a predicted model, not a curated record. NCBI's taxonomy places the organism in Eukaryota, Viridiplantae, Streptophyta, Magnoliopsida, Poales, Poaceae.
GAGGAACUGGUUCUGUUUCCUCCGGUCAUACCUUUCGUCAAGCAUAUUUUCAACGGGACUUUUUUUGCCCUCCCACCAAUUCUCUACUACUCCACCACGUCGGCUUUUUUUUUGUCCACCUCUCCUGCACCGGUUUUGCUAUGGUUUUUUCAUGGUUUUGUUUCGUCCAGAUCGGCAGUCCAGGCUACUAGCCACAGAACGACCAGCCCAUCUACACCGCCGCCUCCUCGACCGCCCGCCGCCACGGCGCCAGAGGGCUGCGCCUCGCCUUGAGGGCGAUCGCUCCAUGGAUGGUGCUACCGUGUGCGCAACGAGAGGUCUCCCAACCCCUUCUCCCGCGUAGUGCUACGAGAAAUGCGGGAGCUAGGGUUAGGUCGCCGCCGCCGCUGUUCACGAUAUGUGGUAGAACAGCAGGUCGGCCUCGACCUGGCAGUGGAUGGCCGCGGCAACUGCGGCGUUCCCGUCCGGCACAACGCCGAGGAGGCAGUCCCAGGAGGCGGUGCACAUCGACCUCAAGAAGCUGCGCCGCAUCACCGUCAAGGUCAAGCUCGCACCCUGCCGCCCGGGCUCCGACGACCCGCGGGUCGACCUCAACUGCGUGCACCAUCUGGUGUCCAUACCGCAAGAUGCUGAAUUACGCGGUGGAGUAACAGACGGUCAAGACUAAGGAUGAGAAGAGCAUAAAGCAGAUUGAGGAGCAGAGGUAGGCACAUGUCCGGAUGCGGCAUCAGGAAGGACAUCGCGGAGCGGUUGAAGAAUAAGCAGACUGCUGCUUCGAUUGAUGCAAUAACAACCGCGGAAGUUGAAUGCUCUCAUACCAGUGGCACAUCCACACGAGCUGCAGCCAUCGAUGAAGGCAAUGAUGUGCUCUCAUCUCAAAUGCAACAUUCAGAGUUGCUACUGAGGAAUGCUGAACGCUUAAAGCAGACACAGUAAGUGUGGCGGACAAGAAGCUGGCUGAGCUCAAUGCCCUCUUCGCCACCAGUUUUGUAUGGCUGAGCUCAACGCCUUCUUCGCCACCAGUUUUGUAUGGCUGUGCUCGACGGCGAGGAGAGGUGCAUAGGGGUCGUCUCCAGGAUCAUCUUCCUCAUCUACCCUACUUAGUUUCUAUACAAUGGAGAUAUGCCAUCCGCGUCAGGACUUGAGACAAGGCCGCAGAUUCGCUCCCCACCCACCUUGCUCACCACAGAUUCGGCGAUUAUACUAUGGGGAUGAUUCCGGAGAAAACAUGGGACCUGAUGUUCGGUAAACCCAGAAAUAUUAUGCGGUUAGCUUCCUUUAAUUUUUGUAGAGCUUUGGUUGUCAAAACCGAUGUUAGUUGUUUUCCAUGGUCUGGUGAGCUUUUAUCUUAAUGUUCUUUGGUCUUGAAGUUUUUCCAUAGAUUUUCAUUGCCUGCUACUUCUAUGAUUCAGUUGUUCUCCGUUCCUUCUCUGUGGGGCGGCCGUUACCUGAGGUUGUCGGCCAAUGGUGACUGAAUAUCGGCGCCUCCCCCGUGUUGCUGUAAUGACUGGGAUCUAGGGGUAAGGAGCAAUUCCUUUUUUUUCUUUUCCCUUUUCCGUUUUAACUGAUCUGACAUUUGCUUUUAUGUGUCAUCUACACUAAAAAAACACAAAUGUCAUUAUCCAUCAGAAUGUAUGUGAAAGAAUUCCGCCAUGGUUUCUAUUAGAAGCAUAUCUUACACCUAGAAUACUUCAUGGUAACUUAGGGCUAUGUCAGUUAGUACCGUUCGUGUUCGCUGGAAUGAGAUGACACAUUGAAUUAUAAGUAAGAAGGUAACUGAAGCAAGAAUUUUUUUAUGAUUUUUGUGAUACUGGAAAGAGCGAGGUCAUCAGCCAAUGAUGAGUGAUAAAGUAUCCAAUUUGGACAGUGUUCUGACUUUUAUUUGGCUUGUUCAUGCAGAUGCAGGUUUGUUUGUGACGAUCUGGAUAUACAGUGAUAGUUUUAUCUAUUCCUGAAAUUGGAUGAUAGUUUUAUCUGUUUAGCAGUAUAUGUACUUGGACGUUUCAUCAUACCCAUUGUCUUUGUCAGCAGGCUCUAGAGUUGCCAAAAUCUGCAAACUCUGUGUCACUGUUAUUUACACUCUGCACUAUAUGGGAAACUAUUGUAGGGUUUCUGGAGAAGCAUGAUUUGUGAAAUAUCCUUAGAAGGAGUGACGAAGCAUAUAUUUACUGUCAGGUAAUGUGGCAUAUUUCAAUUUUUUCCAACUUGUGAUAUGUACCUGUUUUAUUGGUCAGGAUGGGUGCAGGGGACGUAGUUCGGGAUUGCAAAGCUCAGCUACCUUUUAGUUUUACUGUGUACACGUACCUACGAUGUGUAAGGUGAUUACGGUACCUAGGUCUGCUAAUCCUUGGUUAAUGAUUUUAGCCCAUGAUAAAUCCAGAAAUAAUGCCCGAUAUCUAAGUUGAAGCAUGGAGCUACUGGACCAUUGUCAGUCAAAUUUUUAAGAUCUUUAAUUUUUCUUUGGAAUUAGAUAUUUUUGGUCCGCACCAUUCCAUCUUUUACUCUACAAUUUAUGCACCUACAUACUCUGUUGGAAAGUUUGAUUACUUUUAGCCCAUAGCUAACUGUUGCAGUUGCAGAAACAUUGCCCAGCAAAUACAGAUUCUUUUGAAGUGCUACCAAAUGGCCUCCCUUGACUAGCAAGACUAGGAUUUAUCUAUUUGGUGAGAUGAGAGCAAUAAUCCAGGAUUCCAGGUAGAUGGUAACAGAUUUAUUUUACUAGAUUUCAAUGUUCAAUGUGCUCAGGAUUUUUAACAUCUUGUAUGCUUGUGUUCCGAGUUGCCAGAUUUAGUGUUUAAUGUUUUACAAGGAUUUUAGCGAUUUGAGAAAUAAUCCAAGUAUAGUUUUGUACUUGCAGCGAGCUUGGCACUUGGAGUCUCUCGGUUCUUCUUACCUAGGUAUGGGACAAUCACUGCAAUCCUAGCUGAUUCCACCCUAAUCCCCCUAUGCAGAUGCUUACCUAAUCCUUAGCAUUUGUUAGAAAAAAAGGCAUUCAUACAUACAGUAGCAUUAACUCGGUUUUCUCUCUGUUGUUAAUCGGUAAUAAUGGUGUGGAGAUGUUUGUCUGAACUUAUAUGGUUUUUUUUUUGCGAGUAACUUUGUGAAAACGUGCUUAGAUCAGUUUCUCUAACAUUUUAAUGAUAUGCUCCUGUGAAACAUGUCAGUGAAGCAAAUCCUGUAUUUUCGUAUUUGUAGGUUGCAAUUAUUUUGAUAUGGUGUUGUAUGAAUGAAGGAUCUAUGGUCCACGGACCAGGCCAGAUAAGGGAGAUUAUGCCUCAAAUUCAUUCAUCUGUGAGAUGGUGGCAAAGUGUUCUACAACACUGUAUUUCACCAAUCCACUUUCAGAUGUCGAAAUAGAUGCAAUCAACUUAACUUUAUAAAAAAAUAUUUCAAUGUUUAAACAUAAAUUAUUUUAUAUUUCUGCUCUUAAAUUGAUAGCAAAGCCUAUUUUAAUAUUUACCUUUUAUUUUUGAAGGUACACACUGAGGUGGAGUGACUAAGACAAAGAAAAGUUGUAAGACGUGGGUAGCCGCCUUUGGCUCAAUUGGCAAAUCUGAUGGGAUAUAAGUGAUCCAAAAUGUAACAGGCUGACUCUUGGGCCUAAAAGUGUCACAUGCUCGUACACGGCAAGGACGAUGCUCAACGCAGCUUCGUGCGAUGGAUUUUGCCAUCCGCACGCCUCUACUUGCAGCCCAUGGCUCCCGUCGAUCUGAGAGGAGGAAGGAGGGAGGUAAAGGGUGAAGUGAUUAGUGAUGCUUCUUGAGGACUCCACGGAAGGGAGCAACUAGGGAUGAUAAAAUGUUUGAAGAAAAGAUGAAGAUAAGAGAAAGAAUUGCAGAUGCUGACGGAGUUCAUCAAAGUUUGUCAAUUAUUCUGUAUAAUGCAUAUGGUUUUUAAGAUUAGGUACAGAUUCCGAGGCCCUCUAAUUUUAUAGGAAAAUGAUUGAAUGCCCC